Molecule: ribosomal RNA, 650 nt
Filed under: Drosophila dianensis
Lineage: Eukaryota; Metazoa; Arthropoda; Insecta; Diptera; Drosophilidae
Description: eukaryotic LSU rRNA
Rfam family: Eukaryotic large subunit ribosomal RNA
Source: RNAcentral
AGAAAUCAGUUCAGCACUAAGUCACUUUGUCUAUAUGGCAAAUGUGAGAUGCAGUGUAUGGAGCGUCAAUAUUCUAGUAUGAGAAAUUAACGAUUUAAGUCCUUCUUAAAUGAGGCCAUUUACCCAUAGAGGGUGCCAGGCCCGUAUAACGUUAAUGAUUACUAGAUGAUGUUUCCAAAGAGUCGUGUUGCUUGAUAGUGCAGCACUAAGUGGGUGGUAAACUCCAUCUAAAACUAAAUAUAACCAUGAGACCGAUAGUAAACAAGUACCGUGAGGGAAAGUUGAAAAGAACUCUGAAUAGAGAGUUAAACAGUACGUGAAACUGCUUAGAGGUUAAGCCCGAUGAACCUGAAUAUCCGUUAUGGAAAAUUCAUCAUUAAAGUUGUAAUAUUUAAACAAUAUUAUAAUAAUAGUGUGCAUUUUUUCCAUAUAAGGACAUUGUAAUCUAUUAGCAUAUACCAAAUUUAUCAUAAAAUAUGACUUAUAGUUUAUUCAAAUUAUUAUGCUUGCAUUUUAACAUAAAAUAAAUGUCAUUAAUUUGAUAAAGUGUUGAUAAAUUAAAAUUAAUACAGUGCGUUAAUUUUUCGAAAUUAUAUAAUGGCAUAAUUAUCAUUGAUUUUUGUGUUUAUUAUAUGCAUUUGUAUGAUUAA